Long non-coding RNA from Saccostrea cuccullata (small rock oyster), 511 nucleotides. RefSeq lists it as uncharacterized. The record is from RefSeq and is a predicted model, not a curated record. Lineage: Eukaryota; Metazoa; Mollusca; Bivalvia; Ostreida; Ostreidae. The transcript is spliced from 2 exons.
GGAUACGUACGCUCUGUCUACAGUCAAGACUUUGGAGGAUGCUGUGAAGCAGAUAAUACAGUUUAUGGGUAUGCAGCCGUGUGAGCGAUCAGAUAAGAUUCCUGAGGGGAAGAGUUCCCACACCCUGUACCUGGCGGGGGUAUAUAGAGGGGGACACGACGCACUGGUUCGGGCCAAACUGGCUCUGUCCAAUAACGGGGUCACCAUGCAGUUAACCGUCAGAUCAACUGAUCCCGACGCUUCAGAAGUCCUGGCUACAGCCAUUGGCUAAUUGUGUUUUACCUAAAAACUAUAAUAUAAUGAAAAUUUUUGGAGAUGUUUUUUUGUGUUUUACCUAAAAACAAUAACUUAAUGAAAAUCUUUGGAAGUGUUUAUUAAUGAAUUGUGAUAGUGUUAAAAAUGGAAGAAACAUUUAAGAUGGAAAGAAUACAAAAUAUAUUUGUCUUUAGAUAUUCUUAAUUCUUUUUGUUGUUGGGAUUAUAUGUAUAUAAAUAAAAGUAUCAUGCCUGUG